This 141-nucleotide unclassified non-coding RNA is filed under the name soil metagenome. RNAcentral describes it as "partial internal transcribed spacer 1". The record is from RNAcentral.
CCUAACAGUUAGGCUUCGGCCUGCUAGCUCUACCCAUGUCUUUUGAGUACCGUAUGCUUCCUCGGUGGGUUCGCCUGCCGAUUGGACAUCUUAAAACCUUUUGCUAGUUGCAAUCAGCGUCAUGAAAAAACUUAAUAGUUA